UGGGGAAUAUUGCACAAUGGGGGAAACCCUGAUGCAGCGACGCCGCGUGAGCGAAGAAGGUUUUCGAAUCGUAAAGCUCUGUUGAUAGAGAAGAUAAUGACAGUAUCUAUCGAGGAAGCCCCGGCUAACUACGUGCCAGCAGCCGCGGUAAUACGUAGGGGGCGAGCGUUGUCCGGAAUUACUGGGCGUAAAGGGUUCGCAGGCGGCAAAUCAAGUCAGAUGUGAAAGGUAGAGGCUCAACCUCUAUAAGCAUUUGAAACUGAAUUGCUUGAGUAGUGGAGAGGCAAGUGGAAUUCCUAGUGUAGCGGUGAAAUGCGUAGAUAUUAGGAGGAAUACCAGUGGCGAAGGCGACUUGCUGGACACAAACUGACGCUGAGGAACGAAAGCGUGGGGAGCAAACA
This 401-nucleotide ribosomal RNA is filed under the name uncultured Eubacteriales bacterium. RNAcentral's name for it is "bacterial SSU rRNA". It matches the Rfam family "Bacterial small subunit ribosomal RNA", at positions 355 to 774 of the family's 1533-position model. Lineage: Bacteria; Bacillati; Bacillota; Clostridia; Eubacteriales. The record is from RNAcentral.